This 253-nucleotide ribosomal RNA is filed under the name uncultured bacterium. RNAcentral's name for it is "partial 16S ribosomal RNA". It matches the Rfam family "Bacterial small subunit ribosomal RNA", at positions 524 to 776 of the family's 1533-position model. The record is from RNAcentral.
UACAUGGGGUGCAAACGUUGCUCGGAAUCAUUGGGCGGAAAGCGCGCGUAGGCGGUUACUUAAGUUGGAUGUGAAAGCCCUCGGCUUAACUGAGGAAGUGCAUCCAAAACUGAGUAGCUAGAGUACGAAAGAGGGUCGCGGAAUUCCCGGUGUAGAGGUGAAAUUCGUAGAUAUCGGGAGGAACACCGGUGGCGAAGGCGGCGACCUGGGUCGAGACUGACGCUGAGGCGCGAAAGCGUGGGGAGCAAACAGG